AGCAGUAGCCGCGGGAAUACGGAGGGUGCAAGCGUUAAUCGGAUUUACUGGGCGUAAAGCGUGCGUAGGCGGCUUCUUAAGUCGGAUGUGAAAUCCCUGAGCUUAACUUAGGAAUUGCAUUCGAUACUGGGAAGCUAGAGUAUGGGAGAGGAUGGUAGAAUUCCAGGUGUAGCGGUGAAAUGCGUAGAGAUCUGGAGGAAUACCGAUGGCGAAGGCAGCCAUCUGGCCUAAUACUGACGCUGAGGUACGAAAGCAUGGGGAGCAAACAGGAUUAGAUACCCCUGUAGUCCCUGUCUCUUAUAC
Molecule: ribosomal RNA, 303 nt
Filed under: uncultured bacterium
Lineage: Bacteria
Description: partial 16S ribosomal RNA
Rfam family: Bacterial small subunit ribosomal RNA
Source: RNAcentral